CGUUACUGCCUCAUGGUUGAAUAUCACAUUCCCGUUAUUCUUUGGUUUAUUUGUUCCGACAUGAAAGCAUUCCCACUGAAACAGUUGUAGUUUAACUUUUUUUCCUUAUGGCUGUGAUUAUUUCUCCUAAAGUUAGCUAAUUACCAAUAUUAGUUUUAUAUUUUCUAUUCUUUUAGAAUUAGUUUAUUGUUUCCCCUUUUCCACCGGUGACUCUCUUCUGCACGUGAGAAUUAAUUUGAUAACAACAACAACAACAACAACAACAACAACAACAACAACAACAACAACAACAACAACAAUAAAAAUCCAUACAAAUAGAUAACAAUUAAAAAUAAUUCAUAAAAUUCAACUAAAAGUUUUUAUGUUGUUGUAGAGGCUAACUACAUACUUUUAUGUUUAGCUGUGUGUAUUUUUCAAAUGAAUUUACUUUGUGCAACAAAUAUUGAUCUUUUAACAUCUUGCCUUAAAACUGUAAUAAAGAAUAUAAUAAGUUUUAUUUUCUAAUUGAUAUGCAUAUUAAUUUGACAAGUAAUUUGGGUUUCUCAUUAAACUACAAGAUGUUAAUGACAUAAAAUAUUCUUUUUAUAUAAGUUGUAUUUCCAAGAAGAUAAUAAUAAGAUUAAUAACAUAUGAAAAUUCUAGGACGAAUUUUUUAAAUUACAGCUACUAAGACACAUAUUGGAAAGUCAUAUCUGAUUUUUUUGGUUGAAUAUUUUAGUCGUAGGUAAGCAAACAAGCUGACAACUUUCAAAAAUUUAGAUUUUUUAUUGUAGUUUAAAACUGACAUUAUUUAUAUUUCUGUGGUAGUAAUAUAUUAUUAUAUUAAAAUUUGUAUCAUCUAGAUUUUUUUCAUGUUUCUUAGUGAGAUAUGCAUAGCUAAAAAAGUGGGAAUCGAAUUAAUUACUAGUCAAUUAAAUUUUUUAUUCUGUUUAUUAAAAGUCAGUUAUAUAUUAGAUUUGUAUAUAAAAAGUAGUUAACUGUCUGUUAAGAAUGUUAAUGUAAUUAACUGCUAUAAUAUGUUCAAUACGUAUCGCAUCAGAUAUAAAUAAUUAUUCUUAUUGGUUUUUAGGUAGGACAGGAAUGUGGUACUUAUAGAUAUAUUGAGAAAUAAUAAAAAUAAGUAUAAAUAAUGCAACAGGGAAAACAAGUUUUGCGAGAAUCUUUUUAAACCAUGUUUCGAAUGUCCGAAUGUUCAUUUCUUCAUAUUAUAAAACUAUUAUAUUAUAAGAUAUUAUAAAACAAUUGAACAUUAUAUAUACAUAUAAGAAGUGACCGAGGCCAAGUCUACACAGCGCGUAGUCACGGUCCUGCAUAGCUGUGGCCGGUGAGUGAUGACCGUGUGGCGCCAAAGUUCCGUACACGCGCUCUUCACGGACAUUUUCUUAACCUGUCCGAAAGAAAAACUGUUCUCACGCUUCUCACGGGGGUGUUCCUCUUCAGAAAUGUCCGCAGAAUCCAAUGGUGCAUAGCUAGUGAUUAUUGCAAGACACGAAAAAAGUUCAAAUUUGUUCCACAGUGUUAUUAGUUAAUAUAGGUAUGUAUUUGAUAAACUGUCAAGAGCUUGGUUGACUGAUCUUCAAGAUGUGAAACUAUGGAAUCAGUGUGAUAUAUAUCGAGUCAGGGGGUGAAUAAUGGAAAUACAAAGCCUAGUGUAAGGGCAAAGUGCAAAGGACAGGAUGAGUCAGUAGGUACAGGAGACUAGAUGAGUAGGCGCUUGAAUAGUGUGAUUAGGAUGUUUGUUGCCGGAUGAUUCUAUGUGUUUAUGGAGUGAUGAGAUGUUGCUGUUGUCGAUGAGUUGGUCUUACAACACCUCCCUUCUUUUUGUCCAAAAUUUCUAAUUUUGGAGUAAGAUGUCAGCGAUUUAGUAUCCUUACGAUUAAAUAUUGUAACCUACGUUAAUUAUACAAAGGUUCUAUACUAUAUAUAUGUACGUAUAAAUUUGCCGCAGUCGUGUACAAUAAUGAAUGUUUUAACUCUAUACUAUAAUUUAUAAAUGUUACAUAUACAAAUACUAUAACCUAGAAUAAGAGUAGUGUUACAAACAUGGGUAUACGUUAAAAUAAUUUGGUAACGAGAUCGUAUGAAUCCUUAUUACUAGCAAUUAUUAAUAACUAUGCGGAACACGCGAUUACAAAGAAGUUGUACUUUUUCGCGUUCGUGAUCCAGACUUUGAUCGGAGAUUGGAACUUUGUAUCCCUCCACGCCUUUCGAACAGAACGAUGUUGUUGAAAUGGUCUCUAUGUUCACUAUGAUUAUUUGAAUCAAAAUUACAUUGAACGAAGUUUUUAAUAAUUGGUAGCACCAUUUCUCUUGUUCUGGGACUCCUGGUAAAACAGCAAAAACGCUUGAGCAGGUUCCAGCAGCCAAGCCAGUAACAGCAGUUUCCAAAAAGAAUAAGGAUUAGGAUGGCAGUAAUUACUCCUAAUGUUAUCGUGUACCAACUUGUAUGAGUAACGAUAAAUGGCUCCUUCAGGAGAUGAGUUAGCAAUUCAUCGAACUCGUUGAGUUUUUUGCUAUUAUAUUUUAGAUCAGUCAAAUCAAUGUUCAUGAGUUUUAUGGCCUUCAGAGAUGUUACAGAUUUAUGAAGUAAAUAAUCUGUUGCUUGGGUACAACAGUCGUCUUCAGUUAAAUUAAUUCGGGGGACAUAAUGACUAAUAUUUUUGUUUAUGUAGUUUGUGGGUUCCAAUAAAUAAGAAAUAGUAUAUCCUUUGCUGCCAUUGUGCAAUUGUAUUAUGCCUGUCUUCUUUAAAAUGAUAUCCUCCAUGUGAUUAUUGGUGUCCUCACCACAGAUGAUUGUCAGCGUAAUUGAUUUUUGUAAAACAUACAGCUACUGAUUGUUUCCAAUGUAACUCCAUACUUCCAUUUCGGCGUUUAUUGUUCUUGUUGAGCAGUCUUGCGGUAAUUGUUUAACAUGGGGAGAUAACAACCGUACCUCGCAGGUGGACUCCUCGGUGGUUCUGGCUGUAUUUACGUUGGUGCAUACGUACUUUCCUUCCAGAUACUCAGCGCAAUUCUUCAAAUCCGACAGGACGGCGAAAUAGGAUUUUUGCUGGGAUAUGAGUAGGUAUGGAUUUUGAGGUGUGAUAAAUGAAAAGACAGAAGUAUUUUGAUGUUGAACGGGUAGUGGAAUCAGGUUGAACAGGUCGAAAUUACUUUUUUUCACGAGUGGUAAUUGUAUCACAAAUACUACAAGCUCGUCUAUUUUGAUGCUCUGAAGCUUCUUUAACUUGUAAAUCUUAGGUAAAUUUUUGUAGGUCGGGGUAAUAACUAAUUCAAAUUCACCUUUGUAAUUAGUUAACUCUUUGCAAAGGUUCUUUGGUGUAAUUAGAAAUGGGGAGAUUAUGUUAUGAUUACCUAAAUUAAUGGAUUCUAUAUUCUUGUCAAAAUUAUCAGAGACCUGAGUGCAUAAAGAGAGUAAGAUGGCUACUUGUUCCAUAAUAGUUGCUUCUAACGAUAAUUUUAUAACGUAAUUAUUUGUUUCUAACAUAUAGUUAUUAAUUGUUUUCAUAUUGCUGUUCAGAGUGUCUUCUGUAUGUUUUAGAGAUUGAAUUGAAUUAUUAAAAUUUUUUAUAGUACCCGAAACUAUCUGUAUCUGAGAUUUUAACAGGGUUUGCGUUUGUCUAUUAUCAUUUAAUAAAGCUUUGAUACUAUCAGAAUAAUAUCUGGCAUCGUCCGCGUCCGGGGUGCCGAUUAACCAAUUUAAAACAUAGGAAGCUCCAUUAAUUAAUCCGCGUCGUUUACGCUGUUUUAAGUAAUAUACUAAUAUAUACUCUUUACCUUUUGGAUCAAAUUUAUUCCUUAUUCUUGUACCUUUCUCUAAUGCGAUGACCUUGCUUCCUAUUUUUCUGAGAAAACCAAUAAAAGGUUUUUCAUAGGUCCAUUCUUCAUAUGGAGUGACGUCUUUGUUGGCUUUGGUUGGAGAUCGAUUCUUCAAGAAUACUGAUGUGUUUAUGGCUUUGGCCCAAAGUGAUGUCGGAAGCAUACCUUGUAGGAGCAUACAGCGUGCCAUUUCCACCAAAGUACGAUAUGUCCGCUCAGCAAUCCCAUUUUGCUAUGGUGUGUAUGCUGUUGAUAAUUGACGUGUUAUGCCACUUCCUUUUAGAAAUUCAUUGAACUCAUGAGAUAGGUACUCCUUCGCAUUAUCAGUCCUGAGCUUCUUUAUUCUGCAGCUAGUAGUAUUUUCCGCAUAAGCUUUAUAUUCUUUAAAUGCUUGGAAGACAUCCGAUUUGUUUCUCAGUGUUUUUAUACAUAUGUAUCGACUCUUGUCAUCGAUAAAUGUGACAAAGUAUUUAACUCCCCCAAGUGACUGUACACUAAAUGGACCACAAAUGUCACUAUGCACAAGCUCUAAUUUUUUGCUUGCUCUGUGCUGAAAAGUACCGAAUGGGAGUUGGUGUAUCUUGCACUUGUCACAUACUUCACAACUCGGAUUUUGUUUUUCAAAAUUAUCAUUUAUCCCAAUUGCCAUCUGCUUACUCUUUAGAUU
This is a non-coding RNA of Nomia melanderi (Alkali bee), 4486 nucleotides long. Lineage: Eukaryota; Metazoa; Arthropoda; Insecta; Hymenoptera; Halictidae. The record is from RefSeq and is a predicted model, not a curated record.